Molecule: ribosomal RNA, 857 nt
Filed under: uncultured bacterium
Lineage: Bacteria
Description: bacterial SSU rRNA
Rfam family: Bacterial small subunit ribosomal RNA
Source: RNAcentral
CAAGUGCGAGUGCCUAAACAUGCAAGUCGAGCGGGGAAAUCGGAGAGCUUGCUCAAGGAUUUUCCAGCGGCGGACGGGUGAGUAACACGUGAGCAAUCUACCUUACGCAGGGGGAUAACACCGGGAAACCGGUGCUAAUACCGCAUAACGUCCCUGGAUCGCAUGGAGCGGGGACCAAAGGAGGAAUCCGGCGAAAGAUGAGCUCGCGUCCGAUUAGCUGGUUGGAGGGGUAACGGCCCACCAAGGCGACGAUCGGUAGCCGAACUGAGAGGUUGAACGGCCACAUUGGGACUGAGACACGGCCCAGACUCCUACGGGAGGCAGCAGUGGGGAAUAUUGGGCAAUGGGGGAAACCCUGACCCAGCAACGCCGCGUGAAGGACGAAGGCUUUCGGGUUGUAAACUUCUUUGACCGGGGACGAACGCAAUGACGGUACCCGGAAAACAAGCCACGGCUAACUACGUGCCAGCAGCCGCGGUAAUACGUAGGUGGCGAGCGUUGUCCGGAAUUACUGGGUGUAAAGGGCGUGCAGACGGGUCGGCAAGUCAGGUGUGAAAUACUCGGGCUCAACCCGGGGGGGUCAUCUGAAACGGCCGAUCUUGAGUGCUGGAGAGGAUAGUGGAAUUCCCAGUGUAGCGGUAAAAUGCGUAGAGAUUGGGAGGAACACCAGUGGCGAAGGCGGCUAUCUAGGACAGCAACUGACGCUGAGGCGCGAAAGCGUGGGGAGCGAACAGGAUUAGAUACCCUGGUAGUCCACGCCGUAAACGAUGGAUACUAGGUGUAGGGGGUAUCGACUCCUCCUGUGCCGGGAGUUCACACAAUAAGUAUCCCACCUGGGGAGUACGGCCGCAAGGUUG